RNAcentral lists this ribosomal RNA (500 nucleotides) under uncultured bacterium. RNAcentral's name for it is "partial 16S ribosomal RNA". It matches the Rfam family "Bacterial small subunit ribosomal RNA", at positions 30 to 523 of the family's 1533-position model. The record is from RNAcentral.
AUUGAACGCUGGCGGAAUGCUUUACACAUGCAAGUCGAACGGCAGCACGGACUUCGGUCUGGUGGCGAGUGGCGAACGGGUGAGUAAUAUAUCGGAACGUGCCCAGUCGUGGGGGAUAACGUAGUGAAAAUUACGCUAAUACCGCAUACGAUCUAUGGAUGAAAGCGGGGGACCUUUGGGCCUCGCGCGAUUGGAGCGGCCGAUAUCAGAUUCGGUAGUUGGUGGGGUAAAGGCUCACCAAGCCAACGAUCUGUAGCUGGUCUGAGAGGACGACCGGCCACACUGGGACUGAGACACGGCAGAGACUCCGACGGGAGGCAGCAGUGGGGAAUUUUGGACAAUGGACGCAAGUCUGAUCCAGCCAUUCCGCGUGCAGGACGAAGGCCUUCGGGUUGUAAACUGCUUUUGUACAGAACGAAAAGGUUUCUACUAAUACUAGGAGCUCAUGACGGUACUGUAAGAAUAAGCACCGGCUAACUACGUGCCAGCAGCCGCGGUAA